CACACUGACGUCUCGAUAUGUAAGAGC
This 27-nucleotide small RNA is filed under the name Bombyx mori (domestic silkworm). RNAcentral's name for it is "ovarian small RNA-12903". The record is from RNAcentral. Lineage: Eukaryota; Metazoa; Arthropoda; Insecta; Lepidoptera; Bombycidae.